AACGAACGCUGGCGGCAGGCUUAACACAUGCAAGUCGAACGGUCUCUUCGGAGGCAGUGGCAGACGGGUGAGUAAUGCAUGGGAAUCUACCGUUCUCUACGGAAUAACUCAGGGAAACUUGUGCUAAUACCGUAUACGCCCUUUUGGGGAAAGAUUUAUCGGAGAAUGAUGAGCCCAUGUUGGAUUAGCUAGUUGGUAGGGUAAAGGCCUACCAAGGCGACGAUCCAUAGCCGGCCUGAGAGGGCGGACGGCCACACUGGGACUGAGACACGGCCCAG
RNAcentral lists this ribosomal RNA (278 nucleotides) under uncultured bacterium. Its description in RNAcentral is "partial 16S ribosomal RNA". It matches the Rfam family "Bacterial small subunit ribosomal RNA", at positions 29 to 334 of the family's 1533-position model. The record is from RNAcentral.